This 468-nucleotide ribosomal RNA is filed under the name uncultured bacterium. RNAcentral describes it as "partial 16S ribosomal RNA". It matches the Rfam family "Bacterial small subunit ribosomal RNA", at positions 28 to 507 of the family's 1533-position model. The record is from RNAcentral.
GACGAACGCUGGCGGCGUGCUUAACACAUGCAAGUCGAACGGAAAAGCCCUGCUUUUGUGGGGUGCUCGAGUGGCGAACGGGUGAGUAACACGUGAGUAACCUGCCCUUGACUUUGGGAUAACUUCAGGAAACUGGGGCUAAUACCGGAUAGGAGCUCCUGCUGCAUGGUGGGGGUUGGAAAGUUUCGGCGGUUGGGGAUGGACUCGCGGCUUAUCAGCUUGUUGGUGGGGUAGUGGCUUACCAAGGCUUUGACGGGUAGCCGGCCUGAGAGGGUGACCGGCCACACUGGGACUGAGAUACGGCCCAGACUCCUACGGGAGGCAGCAGUGGGGAAUAUUGCACAAUGGGCGGAAGCCUGAUGCAGCAACGCCGCGUGCGGGAUGACGGCCUUCGGGUUGUAAACCGCUUUCGCCUGUGACGAAGCGUGAGUGACGGUAAUGGGUAAAGAAGCACCGGCUAACUACGUG